Molecule: ribosomal RNA, 1654 nt
Filed under: Rasbora patrickyapi
Lineage: Eukaryota; Metazoa; Chordata; Actinopteri; Cypriniformes; Danionidae
Description: 16S ribosomal RNA
Rfam family: Bacterial large subunit ribosomal RNA (bases 96-1562)
Source: RNAcentral
GCCAAACAACUAGCUUAAUCACCAACAUAACUCUACACCAUAAAUAAUAUAGAUUUAACCCCAAAUCAAUUAAUUAAACCAUUCUUCACCCUAGUCUGGGAGACAAAAAAGGCCCUAUUAAAGCAAUAGAAAAAGUACCGCAAGGGAAAGUUGAAAGAGAAAUGAAAUAAACCAUAUAAGCCACAAAAAUCAAAGACUAAAUCUUGUACCUUUUGCAUCAUGAUUUAGCAAGUCCACUCAAGCAAAGAGACCUUUAGUUUGAAACCCCGAAACCAAGUGAGCUACCCCGAGACAGCCUAUAAUAGGGCUAACCCGUCUCUGUGGCAAAAGAGUGGGAAGAACUCCGGGUAGAAGUGACAGACCUAUCGAACUUGGUAAUAGCUGGUUGCCUAAAAAAUGAAUAUAAGUUCAGCCUCGCCCACCCCAAAUCAUAAACAUAUUAAUACGAUUUAUAGGAAAAACACGAGAGUUAGUUUAAGGAGGUACAGCCCCUUAAACAAAGGAUACAACCUUAACAGGAGAAUAAAGAUUAUAAUAGAUAAAACACAAUGUCCCGGUGGGCCUAAAAGCAGCCAUCCGAACAGAAAGCGUUAAAGCUCGGACAAACAAAAGUUUAUUAUACCAAUAAAUGAUCUAAUUUCCCUAGAAAUAUUAGGCUAUUCCAUACAUAUAUGGAAGAAAUUAUGCUAAAAUGAGUAACAAGAAGAACCCAACCUUCUCCAAGCACAAGUGUAAGUCAGAUCGGACCAACCACUGAUAAUUAACGAACCCAAACAAAGAGGGUAUUAUGAACAACAUAAUAAUCAAGAAAACCACAUUAACAAAAAUCGUUAACCCUACACCGGAGUGCAUUAAAGGAAAGACUAAAAGAGAAAGGAAGGAACUCGGCAAACCCAAGCCUCGCCUGUUUACCAAAAACAUCGCCUCUUGCAACAUCCACGUAUAAGAGGUCCAACCUGCCCAGUGACUACAAGUUCAACGGCCGCGGUAUUUUAACCGUGCAAAGGUAGCGCAAUCACUAGUCCCUUAAAUAAGGACCUGUAUGAAUGGUUAGACGAGGGCUUAACUGUCUCCCUUCUCCAGUCAGUGAAAUUGAUCUAUCCGUGCAGAAGCGGGUAUAAUUCUACAAGACGAGAAGACCCUUUGGAGCUUAAGGUACAAGACUCACACAUGUUAAACAAACUCUAUAAAGUUUUAAAACCUAAUGAAAGAUGAAACUCUACCUUCGGUUGGGGCGACCACGGAGAAAAAAAUAACCUCCAAGUGGACUGAAUAAUAUUCAAAACCAAGAUUUACACCUCUAAGUAGCAGAAUAUCUGACCAAAAAUGACCCGGCCACAAAACCGAUCAACGAACCAAGUUACCCAAGGGAUAACAGCGCAAUCCUCUUCCAGAGUCCAUAUCGACGAGAGGGUUUACGACCUCGAUGUUGGAUCAGGACAUCCUAAUGGUGCAGCCGCUAUUAAGGGUUCGUUUGUUCAACGAUUAAAGUCCUACGUGAUCUGAGUUCAGACCGGAGUAAUCCAGGUCAGUUUCUAUCUGUAAUGCUAUUUUUCCUAGUACGAAAGGAUUGGAAAAGGGGGGCCUACCCUACAAAUGCGCCCCACCUCAAAUCAAUGAAUUUAAAUAAAUUAAAUAAAAGGAGAGCAUAAAC